GACGAACGCUGGCGGCGUGCCUAACACAUGCAAGUCGAACGGAAAGGCCCUGCUUGUAGGGCACUCGAGUGGCGAACGGGCGAGUAACUCGCGGGUGAUCUGCCUUCCUCUUCGGGAUAAGCCAGGGAAACUGGCUCGAACUCCGGCCAGAUGACAUCUUUAGCGUGAUGGUUGGAAAGUUUUAUCGGUGGUGGCUGAGCGCGCGGGCUAUCAGCUUGUUGCUGGGGUAAUGGCCUACGAAGGCGACGGCGGGUAGCCGGCCUGGGAGGGUGGACGGCGACAUUGAGACUGAGGGACGGCCCAGGCGCGUACGGGAGGCAGCGGAGGGAAAUAUGGAACAAUGGGCGCGAGCGUGAUGCGGAGGCGCCGCGGGGGGGAUAACGGCCUUCGGGUUGAGAACUCCUUUCGCUAGGGACGAAGCUUUUUGUGACGGUACCUAGAGAAGAAGCACCGGCUAACUACGUG
This 465-nucleotide ribosomal RNA is filed under the name uncultured bacterium. RNAcentral's name for it is "partial 16S ribosomal RNA". It matches the Rfam family "Bacterial small subunit ribosomal RNA", at positions 28 to 507 of the family's 1533-position model. The record is from RNAcentral.